GAAAAAAACGCUUAUCGUCAGCAGUUACAAAAUAAAAUCAAAAGACAUAAAGCGAAAAAUGAAUCUGAAUUAUAGGAUUUUAAUUGAUCAACCGAUGAUCUUAGUUUCAAACUUUUGCCCAUGAUUGAUUCUAAGUUAGGAAAUGAAUUUCACUCAUCAAUGUUUUUAGGUGUUUCUCUUUUCAACGAAAUAAAUCUCGCAAAUUCGAAGUUGAAACCAAGGUAACUCAUUAUCUCAGAAAUUUCCAGUUUUGAUUCAUUGUUCGGCCUCGCUGGAUUCAUGGUGCAUGUAACACACAUAUUUCAGUCAUUUAUGCAGGUAUUUUCGGGUUAUGAAAAUUUCCCACUGUUUUGUGUUGAUUCCGGUUUUGAUAAACUCAGGUUCUCAUAACAUACAUUGAAACUCUCCAAAUUUAAGACAGUUUACAUAUCAAUAUUGAAGAAUCCACGGAUAAAACAUAUAACUCCUAUAGGAUUACAUAAUCAUGUACCAAAAUAACUACAUUUGAAGGUUAGCAAGUGGUGGUGCAUGAACUUGGAGUAUCGUCAAUGGAUGAAUAUUUUAUUAAACUUUUGUUUAGAAGAUUUGCGAACAUCCAUUAAAAUCUACCAGAAUUUCUAUGGUAUUCAGUUUUUUACCGUUUGUUAUGUCUUACUUUCAAACAGCCCUAUGGCAACAAACUUUUUGUUGUGCAAUUAAUGUAACGGUUUGGUUCGAAUUGUAUUGUUUGUGAUACGUACUUCACUUAUUUUCAGAAUUAUUAAUUUCAUAAAGAACAUCAUAUCGGUGUUUAGUAUAUAACCUUUUAUACUCUACCAUAAUUAUAGCAAGAAUGUUAUUUAGCUACUUUCGCAUUUAUAGAUUUUGGGUCUGAUUUCAUUCUUUGUUGUCAGUGAUGUAGUAAUUUAUAAUGGCAUCUCAACUUUCGAAGAAUAAGGUCCCCAGUUGUUGGUGUAGGUAAUUUGAAUUUUGCAUUUUUGUCUUUCUUUUUGUCCCAAGUGGUUUUGCAUACUUAUUUCAAGUGAUGGCCUUUUGAGUUUCAUUUUUGCGAUGGAUAAGAUGACAUUUGCGUUUGUUGAUUUAAGCUUUUGUGAGUAACUUACUUUUGCCAGUGUUGCUCCGGAUAACACGGGGGACUAUCGAUGUUAACAUUCAAUUAUGUCCAACGUAGAUGAAUGAAUUUUCUUGGAAAUCAAGAGAAAAUAUUAUUCCAGCCACCGGUUUGAUUUCUACUUCUCCACCAUUUUUCCCCUACAAAUUUUGCACAUGUCGUUUCUUUUCAAGUGGCCAAAAAGUCUAGAAAAUCCUAACCACUUCAAAUAACACUUCCUAGCAUACAAAGCAAAGUUUCCCUUGACAUUUUGUGUUUUAAGAACAAUUAAACCAUCAUCGAACUUAAAAGAUAAAUGGGAUUCAUCCUACAACAUAAUUUUCUGACCGAGUAUAGUUUUUGCAUGAUUUUGUAUUCCAUGUAUGUCUUCCCUUACUGAUUACCAAGAUUCUGCUCACAUGAAUGCAAGAUAUUAACAAAACUAUGUGCAUGCCAGAAAAAUGUUGGCUUACGGUGGCUGGGAACGUUUGGCUUGCAACAGAUGCAGUAGGAAAGUUUUUGGUGAUGAAGAUGACCACUGUAUACAAAGUCCGAAGCCAAAAUUAAGUAAACCAAAGUCGGAGUUUGGAACUAUUGACUGACAGUGGGUGGAAUAUUUUCCUACAGUUUUUUUGGUGUUCGUUCUCCAACCUGAUCAGCUAAAAAUAUUACACUGGUGUAAAUUUUAGUAGUGGGCUUCAUAAUCUAUGUUAUUUCACUUCUUU
Long non-coding RNA from Papaver somniferum (opium poppy), 1815 nucleotides. RefSeq lists it as uncharacterized. Lineage: Eukaryota; Viridiplantae; Streptophyta; Magnoliopsida; Ranunculales; Papaveraceae. The record is from RefSeq and is a predicted model, not a curated record. The transcript has 5 exons.